This 5199-nucleotide long non-coding RNA is filed under the name Marmota monax (woodchuck). The stretch from base 170 to 239 matches the Rfam family "tRNA". The record is from RNAcentral. Lineage: Eukaryota; Metazoa; Chordata; Mammalia; Rodentia; Sciuridae.
ACCAAACCCAAUCCACUGCUUGAUUUUAUAUAGCUCUUCAGAUUUGAUAUAUGAAUUUUUGCAAUCAUUUUUUUUAGGGAACAUGAAAUUUUAACCCCAAUUAAUCAUAAUGGUAUUCUCCCUGCACAAAAAGAAAUAUACUGAAUUUAAAAAUUGUACUUAGUGGGCUGGGGAUAUAGCUCAGUUGGUAGAGUGCUUGCCUUGCAUGCACAAAGCCCUGGGUUUGAACCCCAGCACCACACACACACAAAAAAAAUUGUACUCAGAGCUUCUGGGUGUAGAAAUCCAAAAUGGCACGGUAAGAGAAGUCAACCUUCAUUCUUCUAUCAGCCAAAAUAAUCCAGAGAGGUUUUAGGGGCCCAUUAAAGAAUCUGCAGUAAUACAACAGAACACAAAAUGGAGAAUAGCUGUAUAAAAGGGUUACUAAUUAAAUUAGCAGAGACACUAGGAGACAGCUAGGAAAAAAUAAUGGUGGAGGCUAUUGGUAUCAACCACAUGGUAAGAACCACUGUCGCUCCCAGUGGCCUCUUUUGUGGAGUACACUCACAUCUCUUGUCCCUGAGGUCACCAUACUAUUCAAAAAGGGAAAUGUAGCUCCAUAGCCUUUCUCUUCCCAAGAAAUGGUCAUUGUUGAACUGCUUUGGGGAAGGAAUCACUCCUCACAAUUUCCAACCUGGAAGUGUGUCCAACCCACAAAUGCCUGCACCCAGAUUUUAUGGCUACACUGGGUCUGCUCACAGUUUGGACACAGGAGUCAUCAUAUAGGAAGGUGGUUUACACUUUGGGCCUGGAGAAAGCUCUCACUAUGCAUUAUCAUGCUCCAGGCUCUAGCUCAGCUGCCAUAAAGAGCUAGACCCCCACCCUGAUACUAGAGGCAUUUGCUAUACCCACUGAUGAACUCCCCAAGAUUUAACAAGAUAAGGGACAGAAAUACUGUAAAAUAAGGAGAUUUCAGAUUUCAGAUGUAGCUGAGUGGUAGACAGCUUACCUAGCUUGUGUGAGGCCCUGGGUUCAUUAAAAAAAAAUUAGAGAACUUUAAUGACCCACUUUCAACAAUAAACAGUUCAUCAAGACAAAAAAAAAAUCAAUAAGAAGCUUUAGACAUGAACUGCCUUUUGGACAAAAUGGACCUUACAAAUAAAUCCAGAAUCCAUCCAAUAAUAGCAACCGUGUAAAGUACACAUUCUCUCGAAUAGUUCAUAUGUUAGGCCACAAAAUAAGUCUUAACAAACUUAAGAAGAUUAAAUCAUAUCAAGUAUCUUUUCAAGCCACAAUAGUAUAACAAUAAUUUUGGAAAAUUCACAAAUAUGUGGAAGUUAAACAACAUGCUCACAAGCAUUUCUUCAAAGAAGAAAUUAAAGGGAAAUUAAAAGUAUUUCAACACAAAUAAAAAAUGAAAACACAGCAUAUCAAAACUUAUGGGACACAGGAAAAGCAAUUUUAAGAGGAAAAUUUAUAGCAAUAAAUGCCUACAUUAAAAAAGAUUCUAAAUAACCUAAUAUCACACCUUAAAGAACUAGAAAAAUAAGGAGCAAAAAAGCCUAAAGUAGGUAGAAGAAAGAAAAUAAUGAAGAUGAGAGCAGAAAUACAUGAAAUAUAGUCCAGAAAAACAAUAGAAAAUAUCAGUGGAAACAAGAGUAGGUUUUUUGGAAAGAUAAACAAAAUCAACACAUCUUUAGCUACACUAAGAAGAAAGAGAAGACUCAAAAUAAAAAGUAAAAAAAGAUACUUUACAAUCAAUACCACAUGAUACAAAAAAGUCCUAAGAGACUACUAUGAUUUAUACACUAACAAAUUGGAUAAACUAGAAGAGAGAAAUUCCUAGAUACAACCUGCCAAGACAAAAUAAUGAAGAAAUAGAAAAUCUGAACAGACCAAUAAUGAGCAUGCAGAUUGAAAUAGUUAUAAAAAAGUCACCCAUCAAAGAAAAGCCCAGGGCCUGAUGACUUCAUUGCUGAAUUCUAAUAGAUACUUAAGAGAAAAAAACCAAUCCUCCUCAAACUUUUCCAAAGAAGUCAAAUAAAGGGGAAAAUGACAAAAAUCAUUUUGUAAAGCAAACUAGACAAGGAUACCAAAAGAAAAGGAAAUUGCAGGCUGAUAUCCCUGAUUCACAUAGUUGCAACAAUCCUCAAUGAAAUACUGGCAAACCAAAUUCAACAGCCUAUUAAAAAGUUCAUUUACCAUGAUUAGGUGGAAUUUAUCAUUGGCAUGCAAGUAUGGUUUAACAUAUGCAAAUCAAUAUAUGUGAUACACCACAGUAAGAGAAUGAAAGUCAAAAACUAUCUGAUUAUAUCAACAGAUGAUGAAAAGAUAUUCAACAAAAUUCAAUGUCUUAUGAUUAAAAAGAAAACCUCUCAACAAUUUAGAUAUAAAGGAAAUGUAGCUCAGCCCAUAAAGGCCAUAUAUGACAAGCCCAGAGCUAAGAUCAUAUUCAACUGUGAAAAUUUGAAUGUUUUCCCUCUAAGAUCAGGGACAUGACAAGGAUGUCCAGUCUCACCACUUCUUUUCACCAUAGCACUAGGAAUCCUAGCCUGACAAAUUAGGCAAGAGAAAAAAAUUAAAGAUAUCUAAAUUUAAAAUGAAGCUGAAUUAUCUCUGAUCUUAUAUUUAGAAAUUACUGAAGACUCCAUAAAAGCAAAACAAAACAAAAAAACAACUGUUUGAAUUAGUAAAUGAAUUAAGUUGGAGGGCACAAAAUCAACUUGCAAAAAUCAGUAGCAUUUCUAUGAAAUUAGGAGCCGUGUACAGAGGCAUACACCUGUAAUCCCAGCUAUUCAGGAGACUGAAGCAGGAGGAUUGCAAGUUCAAGAUUAGCCAUGGAAACAACAAGACCUUGUCUCUCAAAAUAGAAAACUAAUUUUAAAAAGGUCUGGGGAUAUAACUCAGUGGUAGAGUGCCCCUAGGUUCAAUCUUCAGUUCUCCACACCAAUUGUACUAAUUUAUGACUAGCAUAUUUUUAAUUAUGAAAAUGUGUUUUCUAAGUGAAAUUUACAGAGACAGUAAGUAGAAUGGUAGUUGCUAUAACAGUUAUGGUUUAAUGGAAAAGUCUGUGGGGUGUUGAAAGGUUCUAGAUAGUGGUGUUGAGGAUCAUAAAGUAAGGUGAAUAUACUUGAUGCCCCUGAACAAUACACUUAAAAUGCCUACAAUUGUAGGUUUCAUGUGCAUACACAACCAUAAUAAUAACAACAAAAAAGCAUUAUGGACAUUAAAUCAGUGGCACGGAUCAGAAGUAGAGGUAAGGCUCAGGAACGGGCACCAUUCACACUGUUAGUACAUUCGUAAACUUAUAUACCCUCUUUCAAAGACAGAGCCUCAGAUAGAGGUUCUAAAGAGUGAUCUCUCAGCAUUUUAAGAAAAUAUCACAGCACAUGUUCAGGAAAAUGGCAAAUGAUCUGGGGCCAAAGUGAUGGAAGAGCCACACUGUUCUGGGGAAAUCAAUGAGGGGCCGCAGAAGCCAUGGCCCAGAGCAGUCAGGUAUGAGCAACUUCAAGGAGGUACAUUCUUCCAUGCUGGGAGAGAAUAUAUCAAGCUGGUGUGGUUGGGGUGGUGCCUUGUUCCAUAUGCACUAAUGGGCCCUUUGCCACAUGGCAUAAGACGUGGAGGCCAGCUUGCACAGGCCCAUGGAAGUAACACAUGGGAUGGACAGUGCGGGCCUGAGCGCUACAGUUUAGAACUUGAAUGCCCCUUAAAAGCACAUGUGUUAAAGGUUUGGUCCCUAGAGUAGCACUACUGCAGAAUGGUGGAAGCUUUAGGUGGUGGGGUCUAGGGGGAGACCCUUAGGUCAUCUGAGGUGUGCCUCAAAGGGGAUUGUGGGACCCCAGUCUCUUUCUCUUUCUCUUUGCCCCUUGGCUUGUGAUGUAAGUAGUUAUGCUCCCACUAUGAUGGGCUGCCUUACCAUCAGCCCAAAAUAAAGCACGAAUUAUGGACUAGAACCUAUUAAACUGUGAGCCAAAAUCAAUCUUUCUUCUUUAUAUGGCAAUUAUCUCAGGUGUUUUGUUAUAGUGAUGGAAAGCUAACACACUGAGGAGGGUGAACUGUUGGCACAUAUCAAGGCAUGAAGACUGUAUACCAUACCCUCAAUCCAUUCUUUGUCUUAAAAUAAACUUUAAGCUACUCCACUUCUUUGACACCAAUCAUUCUGCCCCACCACACCUUGAAGGACAGCAGCCCAUUAGCUACAGGACCAACAUGCUGGAUUGACAUUGUUUAUAUGCUUGCCUAUCUCCCUUACAGACUGAGUCUGUUGCAGUAGUCAAGGCUGCUUUUUCCUGAGAUGGAGGGACAAAAGCAUACGAGGAUGCUGUAGAAGGUGCAAACCCAGUGUUCAGAGGAUAUCAUUUCUUUCUUCUAUGACAUUCAAACCCUGAGGCUCUUAGCCAGUCAUUUCCAAGGGCAAGCUCCAAAGACAUCAUGAUGAUGGCCAAGAGCUAGGACUGGCCCAUCUCAGGGCUCAGCUCAGCAGACCUGGUACUACCAGGGGCAAAGGGGCUCCUUGGAGCUGGGUGCGCAGUAACUUAGCUGCUGCAUUACUUGGUAGCAACACAAAUUAGUUAGAGUAGGCUUCUCUCAGCUGCUGCCAGAGUCCAACAGGAAACCCAGCAUAGGAGAGACCCAGGAAGAGCCUCCUAAAAAUCCCCAGAAGAGAACCCAGGUGAAUAUUUACCUUAGAAGCUGGCUCUAGUGCUCCUCUCAGGGCUGAGAAAGAGUCAUAUUUGACUUCAGAAAUGGUUGGGGGGAACUGAACCAAAGACAAGUGCCAGUAAGCCAGUAAGUGGCUGAGCAAUGGGCCAGGGAGGUGACCCUGAUCAGGGAAGAGGCAAAAACCAGAGAAGAGCUACAAUACUCAAGUUUCUAGUUGCAUUGAGGGAAUCAAAUUUCUUCUCUGGGUUCCUAAGGACCCAGAUGUGGGGUGUGUGUAUGUGUGUUUGUGUGAGGUGGGGGGGGGGAGAAAGAGAAAGAAAGAAUAUGAAUAUGAAUGAGAAUAUGGGAGAAGUUUCAUUUCUCUGCAUGGAUGCAAGAACCCAGAGGCCAGAGGCUGAGGGCACAUCAUCUCCCUGCCCUCCCCAUAAUUACCAGAAAUUGUAGGUUUAACCCAGAUGCCUCUUAGAAAGUUCAGGAAGCAAGGUGGUUGGCCCCGGCAUUGGUGGGUUUAAACACCAAGCCAGAUUAUUCAGUGUAAAGAAGAGCUGAGGGGGGCUG